Long non-coding RNA from Bufo bufo (common toad), 123 nucleotides. RefSeq lists it as uncharacterized. The transcript is spliced from 3 exons. Lineage: Eukaryota; Metazoa; Chordata; Amphibia; Anura; Bufonidae. The record is from RefSeq and is a predicted model, not a curated record.
AUUUUCUGAUGUCAGGACACAUCUCACCGCCCUAAGACAUGAUGGGACAGCAGAUACGUGACAAGCCAGGAAGUAGGAUUGAAGCAUGGAGGAUAAGAGAAAACUGCAAAUGAGGUAAAUUUG